CCAGUAGUCAUAUGCUUGUCUCAAAGAUUAAGCCAUGCAUGUCUAAGUUCACACCCUCGCACGGUGAAACCGCGAAUGGCUCAUUAAAUCAGUCGAGGUUCCUUAGAUGAUCCAUUUCUACUUGGAUAACUGUGGCAAUUCUAGAGCUAAUACAUGCGGACCAGCUCCGACCCGGUGUCGCAGCCGGGGAAGAGCGCUUUUAUUAGUUCAAAACCAGUCGGCGGGUUCGCCCUUCGCGGGGCGGCCCGUCGUCCCCUUUUGGUGACUCUGGAUAACUUUGUGCCGAUCGCAUGGCCUCGCGCCGGCGACGCAUCUUUCAAAUGUCUGCCCUAUCAAAUGUCGAUGGUACGCGAUAGGCCUACCAUGUUGGCUACGGGUAACGGGGAAUCGGGGUUCGAUUCCGGAGAGGGAGCAUGAGAAAGGGCUACCACAUCCAAGGAAGGCAGAGGCGCGCA
This 455-nucleotide ribosomal RNA is filed under the name Lanistes varicus. Its description in RNAcentral is "bacterial SSU rRNA". It matches the Rfam family "Eukaryotic small subunit ribosomal RNA", at positions 17 to 438 of the family's 1831-position model. The record is from RNAcentral. Lineage: Eukaryota; Metazoa; Mollusca; Gastropoda; Architaenioglossa; Ampullariidae.